AAUAACCUCAUCAGACGACAGAGAUCAGACGACAGACAGGUUGGUUUCUGUCGUCUGAUAUAUUUUAACGACAGACAGUGUAAAAACUGUCGUCUGAAUAUAGCAACAUACCAUGGUAAGUUAGCUUUGAGAAUUAGGUUUGUCUUCACACUACAGUUAUCUGUCAUCUAAUCAAAGGAGAUAAAUUUGAUUUCGGUUCGUGUUGUAUCUGCUUUUUUUUUUUUUUUGUUCAGACGACAUUUAUCUGUCGUCUUGUCAAAGGAGAUAAUUUUUUUUUUGUCAUAGCUGUUUGUUUUUUUGGCACAACAUGAAGGGAUAUAUGCCAAAUUUUAAAGCUAUUUCUCUCUCCCCGACAAAUUUAACCCUUUGAAAAAUUUUCUCUUCCACAUCUGAGAAACCCUAUCUAUCUCACUCUCCCUUAGGCACAGAAGAACCCAGUAGCCCCAACUCAACACAAAUUUCUUGGCAGAUCUCCCCCAUUAAACUCUCCUCUAAUCAAAACUGAAAACUCAAUCUCCCCCAUCUCUCUUCGACAAACAUAGAACCCAUCUCAAUCACUUUUUCAAACCAUACAGCCAAACCAUCUCAAUCCCUCUCACGAGUUCUUGUUGGUGUUGAGAAGAUUUCAACGCUUUCAAUCCGUAUUGUUUCACUAUUGUUGGGUAAGCCCUUCGAUUCACUGUUAAUCAAUUUAUUUAGAAUUUCUUUUGGAUUGGGUUUUAGGGUUUUAAUUGAAAAUUUCUAUUCAAAUUUGAUUUGUGUUUACUGGGUUAUAUUCGAAUUGGGGAUACAAGGUUUUCUUUUGUCUGGGUUAUGUUCAAAUUUUCUUUUCGAAGGUACGAUUCGUCUCUGAAAUCGGUGAAGGAGCUUAACCAACCCCUGGAUUCGAAUUGCGGGGUGUUCGUGAAUCGGAGAAGGAGAUGAUAGGAGAGUUGGAAAACUAAAGGUUGCUGCUCCAGUUGAUAAGAGUAGCAAAGGAAAGGCCAUUUUUCAUUGGUUUUGCUAGCAUCUCAUUGAUGGGUCAAUUUAGUUUUGUCAUGUUUUAUUCAAUUCAAUUGUGUUUGUGGGUUUUGUAGAUUGGAUUUAUUGAAGAUUUUGAAAGCAUGUUUCUGAAAUCUUGGACAGAAGACCAUUUGAGGCAAGAGCCUCUUCUUCUCCUUUCAUACUUCCAGAAAGGUCAAUUCUUUUUUUCUUAGGCUUUAGGUGUCCCAAGCUAUAAUGUUUAUCAUUCUAUCUAGUAUGCUGAUCCUAGUAUGGUCUUGUAGAUUUGGAAAUGGUUAUAAAUGGUAUCCUUCCUGCUUAAUUUUUUUUCUUUCUAAUUUCAUUGUUAUUGAGCCCAAAUUAUUGAUUGAUCAAUAGAAGGGAGCAUGCUGAUUAGUUGUGUGCUGCUCUAUUGUGCCCGACUACAUAUUCUAUGCCUUCUACAGAACUUAGUGACAAAUUAACAGUUGUAUUUGUUGUGAGUUUUCUCGAAUUAUAUGCACUUGUUUUUCUAUAGUGGUACCCUCAUAAUUAGCUUGGACAUGCAUGUUGUAGUCAUAGUGGAAAUUGCCAAUAUGUUAUAAUGGACUACAAAUAAUGAUAGAGGGAUUGAUCGGACUAGUGCAUUCUACUAAAGCCUCUUCAAGAACCAGAGAAGAUGACCAAUAUUAUUCUUCAAGCUCUGAAAACUACUGGACAAAGAGGCAUUAUCAACAAAGGCUGGGGUUGGUAAUUCAGUACAAUCAAAUGAUUCUGUGUACUUAGUGGACAAUUGCCCCCAUGAUGACUCUUCCUCGGAUGCUCUGUUGUGGUCAGGAACGUUACCAUGGCCUGGCUCCCAUGUAUUACCGCGAUGCAGCUGCAGCUGUUGGUCUAUGAUAUCACAAGCCUGGUAAUCAUUCAACUCUCCAAUUUAGGUUCAGAUGUCCUUAUGUGUUGCUGGUUUUUGCAAGUUCGUGUUUGUAAUUUCACGGAACAUUAGACUUUCAAGUUUCAACAUUAUACAGUCCCUGCAAUGGUUCCAUUAUAAGUAUCUGCAGAUUAUAUGUAAUCAACUUGAAGUUUUUCUGUUUUUGAUACUCUUGAAGCAAAGACUUUAGCAUCUUUGAUAUAUAACUUUUGAAAGCAGAAUGAGCCACUUGUGACAUGCUCAUUGUAAGCCUUAAAAUUUUAUCUAUCAAAUGAUCGAAGACUAUGUCAUUAAUUAUCUGCAAUAUGAGUUGCUUAGACUUUAUCUG
This is a long non-coding RNA of Rosa rugosa (rugosa rose), 2219 nucleotides long. RefSeq lists it as uncharacterized. Lineage: Eukaryota; Viridiplantae; Streptophyta; Magnoliopsida; Rosales; Rosaceae. The transcript is spliced from 5 exons. The record is from RefSeq and is a predicted model, not a curated record.